This 675-nucleotide ribosomal RNA is filed under the name uncultured bacterium. RNAcentral describes it as "bacterial SSU rRNA". It matches the Rfam family "Bacterial small subunit ribosomal RNA", at positions 132 to 794 of the family's 1533-position model. The record is from RNAcentral.
UUUAGACUGGAACAACUUACCGAAAGGUGAGCUAAUGCCGGAUGAGUUAUAUAAGUGCAUGUUUAUAUAGGAAAAGUUGGGGAGACCUGACGCUGAAAGAUGGACUCGCGUCCCAUUAGCUAGUUGGUAGGGUAAUGGCCUACCAAGGCGACGAUGGGUAGCCGGCCUGAGAGGGUGGCCGGCCACACUGGGACUGAGACACGGCCCAGACUCCUACGGGAGGCAGCAGUGGGGAAUUUUGCGCAAUGCUCGUAAGAGUGACGCAGCGACGCCGCGUGAAUGACGAAGGCCUUCGGGUCGUAAAGUUCUUUCGACAGGGAAGAAAAUGCCUAUAAGUAACUGUGUAUGUAUUGACGGUACCUGUAUAAGCAGCCCCGGCUAACUCCGUGCCAGCAGCCGCGGUAAUACGGAGGGGGCGAGCGUUGUUCGGAGUGACUGGGCGUAAAGAGCACGUAGGCGGUGUUGUAAGUCAUUAGUCAAAGACUAGAGCUCAACUUUAGUAAGGCUAGUGAUACUAUAAUACUAGAGUAUCAGAGAGGAUUGCAGAAUUCCUGGUGUAGCGGUGAAAUGCGUAGAUAUCAGGAGGAAUACCGUUAGCGAAGGCGGCAAUCUGGCUGGAAACUGACGCUGAGGUGCGAAAGCGUGGUAGCAAACAGGAUUAGAUUCCCUGGUAGU